Long non-coding RNA from Gasterosteus aculeatus aculeatus (three-spined stickleback), 11594 nucleotides. The record is from Ensembl. NCBI's taxonomy places the organism in Eukaryota, Metazoa, Chordata, Actinopteri, Perciformes, Gasterosteidae.
AUACAGCAUCUCGGUCCUCUGAGGCAUACAUUUCACAUAGCUCCGCGUCCCCGCUAUGGCUGCACACACUGGCAGACGCGAGCGCUGACAAGCUGGCCAGGACGCGGCCAGCCUGAGUCUGGGGCUCGGCUGAUAAGAGCGAAGCGGAGGAGGUCACCGAGCUCACUGCAUUGAGACAUAACCGCGAGUCAAUUCAAUUUCCUUAAGGACACAGGAGUCCAAUGCCCAAUCCGAACAUUUCAUAUCCCAGCCAAGGCUCCCCUUGCCCUUUGCCCGAUCUCAUCAGAUGAGAAAGCGAGAAAGGUGGAGGAACGAGUAAGAGAAAGCCUGAAAAAUAGAAGAGGGAGUGUGUCAGGCAGCAGUUGUCGGAGGCGGUAGGAACUUUUGAAGUUACGGCAAUGGCCUAGAAAAUCCUAAUUUUCUGACAGUGCUGUGUUUAUAACCAGUGAUCAAGCACCAGCUCAUCUCAAAGUGUAUGUCAAUGUCAAUGUGUGUGUGUGUGUGUGUGUUGGGGGGCAGGAACAUCAGAGAGCAUAUUCACAAACAGAUUGAGUAAAGCUUUAGCACGGACAAACAGGCCAACACUAUUGGGAUGUCAGGUUCCGUAAAAGAGAAGAAAUCAGCUUUGCCCCAACACUUUAAUUAUUCAUGCCGGCGUGUCCUUGGCUUCCAGUGGAUAGUAGGAGCAGUAUGCAUAGAUACCACCCAGCAGAGAUCACGAAAUAACUGAAGACUUUAGGACGCAUGUGGACACCCACAGAUCUGGAGCAAAAUAAAAGAUUUAAACUUAACAUCCUCUGCCUACUUAGACCAAACACACCCAAGAUGUGGGCCGUGUUUUGUAAAUCCUAAUUUUAGAGAACCUUCACUUGAAUUCUUAAUGGGGCCAAGUGAUCAAAGGGCUGCCAUCAUGACUUGAUGAAGCCAAAGCUUUGGCAGCAGUAAAACAAAGUGAGAGUAACACGAUUAAACUGAUGACAAGCUGCGUUACGACUGUGGUUUCACACUGAACAAACAAUGCCAGAGUCGUUCUUGACAAAUGGACUCAUGGAAAGUAAAAUGGGGUAAGCGUAGAUUACUGAGCCAUCACUUUUCCCCAAGCAAGUGAAUAAGGACAUCUUGCUUUUGAAUGUCCUCUUUGGAUGACAUUCAAAUAAUCCAACAGAGUUGUUAUUUGCUUGACAGACACAAAGUCACCCUUUUUAUGGCAAAAGAAAAUGAGUUUGUGUACAUUUAUGAGCAUUGUGGUGCGUCUUUGUGUUCAUAAAAAGGCCCACUGUGUAAGCUUUGGUUUGUUUUCUCUGGAUGUAUUGAUGGUUCAUGGAUAAAUAGUCGUGUUUGUUUAUGUAACGGGUGGGGAAAGAAGCACGAGGCCCCGUCGAAGCAAAAUAACUGCAGAUUAAAUAUAGAAAAAAACUUUUAUAUAGAAAAAAAUCGACUUAGUAAAUAUUCCAAUGACAGUUAUGAACUUUAUCGCUCACAAUAAAAUAAUUUCACUGGUAAUGCAAAUAAACUGGGGACCCUAAACGGCUCCCCAGGUAAUUUAUCAAUUCAUAAAUAAUGCAGCUACAGGCUCAUUCUAUAAGCUUAAUCAAUAGUUUGUGGGACUUUAGCAGACAGCACAGACACGGACUUCACACUGGUGGGCGCCUGAAAUGAAUGUUGCAAUAAAGAAACCAGAUGCCUGAGAGCCUGUGAACAACUCCUUUGAUGUAGCAGAAAAUUCAUCAGCACUAAAAAAUGCCGAGCUAGAGAAGAGAGCGCAUGAAGAGGUGGUGAUGAGCAGCUGAGCAAAAGAAGAGCAGCUGAUGAAAAGGUUUGAGAUCUUUUUUAAAGUAGAGGACAACAACAUACGGGCUAAUAAUCAGAGUGCAAUCACACCGCAUAAUGGCUGAUUUAUCUUGAUUCAUAAACCUCCCAUCAAGUGGGGGACAUUUAUCGGAACAAUCACAUUCUGUAUCCUACUCGCUACCUUAAACAUAGGUUUUUGGGGUUCAAUUGUUAAGGGAAAGUGGUGUUGCUCUAGUGAUACUACGUAGAUAAUGUGGCAGGGUUGACAGGGUCAAAUUUGGUGGUCACUACACUGACCAAUACCACUAUUCUAUAGUCUGUAGGACACCAAAUAAUUAUGAUUAUGUAGUGCGAGAGAGAGAGAGAGAGAGAGAGAGAGAGAGGGGACGAAGUGAAACGGCCCACAAACAGCAUCACUGAGGAGAAUCUCUGGAGCUUUAUUACCAGACUUUCAGCAACAACUCAACCAUGUGGAAGCGGACAUGCUGUACGGGUUCUUCUCAUCUGCCUCCCUUUCCUCCUGUAUUCACAUCCUCCUCGGUCACCCUUGUCAUCUCCCCUCUCGCCCAUAUGUGUGGCUGCCAACACCUUCACCUCGGCCGCCCAUCCGACUGCCUUAUUUGCUCUGUAAUGUUGUCGGGAAGGCAGCAAACCUUUCCGCGGGUCACUGCUUUGAGGUCAAACUUGUAACUCACUGCCUGACAGAAGGAAAAAAAGAGGCCAAAAGUGGUGAAGGAAAUGUGGCUCUUUAAUGCCCAACUGGAGGGAGGGAGGGAGAAACAGAGAGAGAAACGGGGGGAACGUGGCGGCGGCAGACGAGAAGGAGAGAAGUCACAAAGACCUGCCAUUCCGAGGGCUUCACAAGGAGAAAAGAAAGACAGCCAGCUGAGGAAUACUCGCACACAACCACAGCGGGUAUCCCACUUAGUUUUACAGCCUCGCGUUGCACUAAAGCGCAGUACCUGACAGCAGCCGACGGGCCUCACAGCAGGAGGCGGUGCAGGGAGGCACACGGCACAUGUUGUCUUGCACACGCACAUCCAUGCGUGAAAAAGGGUUUACAGCCGAGCGAAACGGGAUGUAUAAUUAAAACGCUGCCUUCUUUAAGACAUCGUGUGCAUUAAGUUCAGUUUGACGUCAAACCAAAGUGCCAGCACGUCUUGUGGGGGUUAAGUUAUGUUAAGAAAACCACGAGAAGAAUGUGAGCUUUCUGACUUUUUAGAUCUGCCCUUUAUGUACAUGAGCGGACACACAACGUCCACAGAGGAGCGAAAAUACGAGCGCACAUCUGAGUGACGAGGGAAGAGAAUGAGGCGCUGCGGUGAUGAGUGAGAGAUUGAGGUCAUCCUGCUUCCUGAUGCUUUGUUACAGAUAGAGGGUUUUUAUCUCCAAAAGCUGCCAGUUAUUAAUGUGAAUCUAAUUAAUCACCGCCCUUCCUCUGACACAUAUUUAAAAAGGGGUGACAUUAUUGGGGCAGACGUCAUUGAAAACAAAGAGCAUCUUGAAUAAUCACAUAAAGCACAAUAUUGCACAAUAUUGUCUUCGAUCACUGGAAAUCAUCAUUCAUUUUUAAUGGAGCAGAGUUGCUCACAGAUUGCACACUUUUACAAUUUAAAUCCUAUUUCCAUAACAGCAUUGUGGACUAGGCCAUAGAGAGAGCCUUUCUAACUUUAUGAGUCAAAUCUACGAGCAUGUUUAUAGUGCCAGAAGGACAAUAAAACAAGAGCUUUUUCCAUUAGAUUUUUUCAAGAAUCCUUUAAUUUAUUGCACAGUGCUGAAACACUGGGUUGAAAGCUGCAUUCCAUCACUCGUACAACAGAAACUCAGCACACUUUAUAGGUUUCGCCCCACUUUCUGCACAUAAAAUCUAGUGUUCCUUAUGUAAAUAUGCAGGAACACACUCAUCCAGAUUAAGCAAGAUGACAGAAAGAUAGAGAGCAGGUGCUGCAGUAGAUGCAUAGAUGUAAUUAACCUCCCAGCUGUUUCCCUAAUGCACAUCAGGUCAGUCCAAACAUUGUGCAUGGAUGCAUUCCAACAAAACACAAUACAUGAGAUGGGUGGAAUGAUCACAAAUAUAAUUUCCAUGCAACGUUUUCUAUUUCUCAAAAAGAGUUUGCAAUGGAAUGAUAAAAGAAAGAAUAUAACAAUCAAAUGACAAAUGACCAAAAACCAGUACACGGUCAUUUAAGAAUCACUGUGAAUGUCAAUUAAACAUAGGCAUGAAAAACAAAUGAAAUGGAACUUUGUAAUCUCGCUGUUUUGUUUUGUUGAAAUGAACACAAAGGCUCUUCACACCUGAAUGUGAAGAACAAGCUAAAUCUCCACUUGGAUUGUUGUUCCUCGCUCUGGCCGUCAAACCACAGCAGACAGAAAUGCAGUUGGUCUGUCUCUGCGAGCACGAACUGGGGACCCAUUUCAGAUGAAGCAGGCCACUUAUUCUGUUUUCAAGGUACACUAUAACAAAAAAAAAACCAGACACCUACAUUUAUAAUUGGGGCUGUGUUUCCUUUUCUCGCACAUUCCUAAAGCAGCGGAGUGAGAGACUCACACUAAAGCAAUUUGUGUCGGCAUCGGCUGAUGUCAACUGGGAACAGGAAGAUAAUGAAGCAGAAAACGCACCUCAAACCAAAACUCACAGCGACGUUGAACAUUCAUUGUAUCUCACAUUAACUUUUAGAAUGUUUGUUACAAAAGUGUCGGCAGGGUGAUUUGGCAGAUGCUCAAUGUCUGCUGUUGAGCCACUGAGGCUCAUUCGAAUUUCAAUUAGGUGAGGAGGAAGGAAAUAAGGGGGAAAGAAGAGAGGGAGAAUCGUGUGGAAGUGGGGCGCUAGGCAGCACCAGUCCAAUCACUCAUAGACGAGUCAUUUGUCUCCUUCUCUGAGGGGCACUCAUUCAAUUAUUCUUCUGUUUUCUUUAAAGGAGAGCAAGUAUUGAUUCAUUUGUCCUUACACAAUAUCAAGAGAGCAGUUCCCCCAAAAAGCUCCUGCACGAAUGAAAUACAUAUACAGUAGCAAUCCUUACAAGAUUAAUGGCGUAGCGUUUCAUGUGCACUCUGUCACAGCUGCUGAACGCCUAUCAUUUAUUGUACUCCUUUAGGUUAGGGUGACAUCCAACUGUUUUGUUUUUUUCAAAAGUAAGCAAAGAAGAAGGGCACACUCCCCCAAUACAGUUAAACAUGUGUCAAGAGAGCCAAGACUGCAUCAACGGUCCAAUCACACUUAAAUAACAGCGUGUGACAAGUGGUCACUCUAAAAAAGCCACUAAGCAAGCUUUUGGGAUUUUAACACAGAGGAUUGAAAAGGCCAACAUCAAUGAUUUGGGCUCCAUGGAGCUGCCAAAAGCUCUGCUUCCACAAGCUCUGUCCUGGAGGAUGAGGAGGAAAGGGAAGGGGAUUAUUUAUUUCUCUACCAAUGUGAGUCCAUUAUGGAUUCUGGCGGGGAUUUACGGAUAUAAGAAAUACACACAGUUUCUAAUGGGUGUUGCAAGUGUGUGCGAGAUGAGUUGCAUACAUUGCAAGUCAUUGUUGUGUGUGUGUGUGUGUGUGUGUGUGUCUGUGUUAGCAUGUGUGUACGUUAGCAUAAAAUUGUGCAUGUAUGUGCAUGAGAGAGGAGGGACAGAAAGAAAGAGAGAGGAAUGAGAGGAGGAAGGAGGAGAAACUGAGAGCCAGCAGAAAAGAAUUGCUGUAAAUUGUUAACGGUGAGAGCCGGCUAGAUUGCUGACUCAUGUUUGCCAGCCAAUUACACCCCCCAGGACUGGUUGGCAACCCAAUAAUGAUUGAGCUGCUGUUUGGGCUUUUCACAGCAAUUCGUUAUAUUGAGGAUUUUUUAAACCAAAACUAUAAAGUCACAUUUUUCUAAUUCCAAACAUAUGGCUUGUUCAUUCAUUCGUUAAUGAUUUUUUGAGUUUGUGCUUUUUGCCUUCUUUCCAUCUGUAGGCGAUACUACUACAGAAAACAUUCAUUUUUGUGUUUGCAGAAAAAGAAGGUUUGAGAUAUUCUCUAUACAGAGAAUUACCCAGAGGGAAUGUAUACAUUUGAGUCUUCCUUCCAUAAUGGCAGUGUAUCCUACGGGCGAAAGAAUGCAUGAAUGUGAAUUCAUUAAUUUCAUGCUAUGAUUGAAAUACCACUUUAAAAAAACCCAAUCAGCAACAGCUCCAAGCAACAUAAUACAAGACGUUUGAAAGAGAACGUAAAAUAAAAAUAAUGGGACUAAGUGUUAUCAAAAUAGUACAUUGUAUUGAGGCAUAGAAAUGCUAUUUCAAAGUUUUGGUUGACUGGAUGAGACAAUAUGAUUAUUAUUAUGGAACCAUCUUGGUGCAUGCAAUACAGAAUAUGCACAACAACCCCAAGCACAGACUUGUUAGAGUAAAUUGCCACCACAACAAUAUUACUUUAUAAGUUAGAUUCUGAAAUUGCACGACGGUCUCCACAUACUGUCGAUGCGUCUAGAUAACCGAGCCGCGUGCAGUCACCCAAGAUGGAAAAGAAUGUAAUCUGUUGAACGAGACAAAUCUUUAAAUAAAAUCGCAUUUCCUCCCCAUUGCCGUUGUGCUUUGUCGGCAAAAAUGAGGAUUUACGUUGACUCCUCAGAUAGUCAGGGCCACUGGUGAACAAAAAGGGUUAUUAUUCAUAUCACAGGAGCGAACAGACACACACACACACACACAAAAUGUCUCAGACAUCCAUUUGCACUUUCUCAUCCAUUGGUAUUCAACGUCUCCUUCUGCCCGCUCCUUUAUGCCUCCUGUGCGGCUCUUGGGCUUUUGGUUACAAGAGGAACACGUCUGCUUAACAGGCUCCGCAUAUUUACAAGAGACCUGUAAUAAAGGGGGGCGGCCAAGAGCGGUGAGACAGUGGGAGGGCAAAGCUGACGCAAACACCUCCAGACUGGCUCCUGACCUCCAGACGGAGUGAGAGCGGUGGUGAAAACCAACACUCAAAGAAUAUUCAAAUUGGUUCUGUGAUCAGAGAACGUCUGUUAUAGCAAAUGAUUUUUGAUACAAAUACACUGUGCGAUUGCAAGCCAUUCUCAAUGACCCAUUUUUCUGCACAUCUUGUCUUUCUGAAAGGUGGCUGUUUGUUUCCAUUAAUUAUAUUAGUCAAAAUGAUCAGCAAAUAUAUAAAACUGGCUUUUGAGACUAUAUUAAUACAAACAACAGUUGUUUCAUUUGUUUGGUCAAAUGACUACGCAUCUAAAGGCUGAAAUAGUUUUUAAAAAACUCUGAUCUUUACAAUGAACCUUUACAUUUAACGUAUAUCAGACGAAUACAGAAUAUUUUCAAUAAAUUUCAAAAUGAGUGCAUUUCAUUUCUGUAUUAGUUGAACUGAAAGUGACAACAAUUAUGUUUCCCUUUAAGCUGUCUAUUUUAACUAUUAACUGCAAUAUUCCAUUGCCAUUUAUAGGAGAAGAAAAUUGCUAUAAUUACAACGUUAAAUAAUUUGAAGAAAAUGGCUUCUGUGGCUUCUACAUUUAAACUAUGAACAUGUGUUUUUUAUUGAAUGCAUAUCCAAUCAGUGCACAUUUUAUUUUAAAGGACAAUUGGCACAAUAACAGUAUGCAACGCUGAUUCACAAAAACUGCUUAUAACUGCUAUAAAGGGCUAUAUUUAAUCUGUCCUAAGAAAAGGUAUGCCUGUGAAUGUCCAUUUAGAGAAUAGAUGAGAAUAAUAGAAAGAAAUAUGAACUUGAGGGGAAGAGCAGAAAAAUAGGAAUUUUGAUCACCAACUGAUAAGAUCUGGCUCAUGCAUUAUGAAUGAAGCCGAAGGUGACUGACUUUCCAGACCAUCUGCAAAAGUAGUUAAGAAACUAAAGGCAUGAAGAGAUGAAUUUGCAUGUGGGUUUAUGGAUUAAUUUACGGGAUAAUAAAGAAUUACUCUCAGCAGAGGAUUGUUUAAUUAAUGUCAGGAGUUUUUUUUUCAGAUGACUAAUAAUUUAAGUCAUUUCAGUUGGACCAUUUAGACAGCACUCCCAACCCGGAGGCUUCAGGGCCCCCUGCUUAUUAAACUCAACAUCAGCGUGUAUAAUUCUGAGUGAGCGUAGACAAGGGCUGCAUCACUGCGGAAGCCACAGUCGGCCAAGUAUUAACAUGGGAGCAGAAAGCUACAUAAUUAUGCAAAACACUAUCCUACUAAAUACACAAGAAAUUGCCAAAGGUAAAGCUUUGAAAAGACUCAAGCUCGAGUUUUUAUUUAUUUAUUAUUGUUACUAUUAUCAUUAACUCGUAACAUCCAGGAAAAAAUGAUGUAUGCAAUGAGGUAGACAAAUAAUAAAGGCAGUGUUUGUGUGCGUGAGAUAAACAUAGAGCAUGGGAGAGAAAAGCGUAGCACCGUGUUAGUCACAACAUGAUGGACCUCAUUGGAAAUACCAACUGACAGGCGUGUUUAAUUUCCUUGCAAUAACAGAAAAUGGUACGUCCUGGAUAAACACUGACAAGGUCUUUCAUCAACAGUAAGUGCCCAUGAUGAACCAUCAAAUGAAGAAAAAACCAUUAGCCCAUAGCGUACGCGGGAGAGAAAAUACUUGCAACUCCAUAAUGGAAUUUAAAGACUUUAAUCAAACCAGCAAAACUGGAUGUAAAUGGCUAAAAUACCAAGUGGAAUCUUUGGUUUAUUUUCAAAUAUGCAAUAGAUGAAAGUGAGGCCACUGAAUUCUAUUUGCAAUACUGUGUGCAUUAUCUGCAUGUACAGAAACAACGUUUUGCAUUUAACGUUUAAAAUUUCAGCUUUACGUUUUCAUAAAGAAUAUAAAUGAACACAGGAACUGUUCUAGAAAAAAUUACACACUCACUGGUAACACUGUUACCACGUAGGAGUAUUUUCUGAAACUACAAAAGCCGAUAGAUGAAAGCCUUUCAGUUGUUGAUGCAGAACACUGGGCAAAAAUGAAUAUUUAUGCAGAGGUACACAUGGGAGCACUUGUAUGCAGCUGAAAGCCAAAAAAUGCAACUCAACUCAUUCUCCUCCCGUCUUCUGUCAGCCCAAACAGCCCCUCGGUCAAACAACCCCUCAAUCAAUUCUCUGCUAAAAACACACCAUCCACCCAUCGUCCUGCUCACACUCACUCUGCCUUCCAAAAACCUUCUUUUGAAGGGGCCAGAAGGCCCGAUCCACCAAAGAGUGUCUUAGUAACAGUCCAAGGGAUGACUGGAAAUUCUCAGCUCGCCGUUUAUCCUCAGACAAAAGCGCCCAGGAAGAAUGAAAGGGAAAUUGGAGUGCCCGCUGAAGCUGCUGAGAGGGCCGCUAGCCGAGGCACAAAUUGCUUCCCUCCUCUCCACCACAGAGCCCUAACAUGGCUGAAGCCAUCCAUUCAUUACCAGCCACCUUAAUGGAACAUCUCUGCCACUGCGGUACCUUUUCUAGUUUAAUGCCAAAUGAGUGCCGUGUGUACUUCACAUCGUAGAAGUCAAACAGGCAAUACGAAGAAGGCGAGUGUGUUGUAAAUCUGGUGCCCAUCUAAAGGAACCUUUCACAAGCCGCCGUCUAACAGCAAUGAGUUGGUUUUGAGGUUAUUUUCUGCACCAAUCAGCUUAGGUAAUAAAAUUGCUCUUUGUGUUAAUUAGAAAAAAAAAAUCCCCAGCGACCAAGAGUUCCUUGAACAAGCCAUUACCCGAAACGUCCGUUGUCCGAAUCAUGAGAGUGCGAGCAGAGAGUGGAAAGAGAAAAAGGAGAGAGAUGUGGCUCACAAAUACUGUGCAGCCAGUUUGUCCAACUCACUACAUCCCAAAGCCCUGUUCUCUUUUCUGGAUGCCUGCCAGGCCAACCAGAGGUCCAGGGAACACAUUCUCUCGUCAGCUAUUAAGAAAAGUCUUGUGAUUGUACCCUGUUUUACAUUUCAUCACAAAUACAAGUUAAAUCUGCAUCAGGCAAUUUCCUCACUGGCAAAACUUUUGAUAAAAAAAGGAGAGAUAUAAAAUAUAUGUAACGUAUGAGGCAGUUGGAGCUGUGUAGAGAAGUAAAUGAUUGAUGGCUCACUGCUCACACAUUUAUGCUAAGUUGAUUUCAAUGUUUUUUUUUUCUUCUUCAAAUAGAGCAGUAAUGGUUCUUCAGGCAUCUGGGCGACUGCACAUCUUGUGCUUUCUAUACGAAUCAUGCGUCACUUCAUACCCGUGCAUGUGCAUGAUUAUGGAAUAUGCAGCAUGUCUGGGGGUCUGACUAGAACUGGGGGUGCAUGGUACAUACCAACCGAGAAGCCAAUUAACAACUCCAGCAGCGGCCUGUUGGACCGGCACCGUGCGGAGGUCUCUGUUAAAUUAAAAUACAAAUGCAAACUUGCCAAAGGGGGGCCAGAGUGCUUGUAAAUCCCAUCCCAGCCACUUUAGGCUGUCACACAGAAGACAGGGCACCGAGAAACUGUCUCUUGAGUCUUCCUCAAGAGACACCUGCAAUCCUGGCCUUAAGUUGUAAAAACGAUGGCACGAUUAAGGUACUUUGUGGAGUUUGGUCCGAUUUGUUGACUGGAGACUCUUUUUAAUUGCUGUGUGCAUGAAGUCACUCAGCCCUUGCUUGGGCUAAUGAGUGGGAACAGUGGUUCCAAAACUCUGCACGUGGCGAUUUUCAACACCCACUUGUUCUCACACCGUCCCACUCAGUUAUUGUAAGACAUUUUAAGUAUAUGUCCCUCCAAAGCACGGAUACGCUGAAUCUCUGUGUUUCUGAAUCGAAAAAGACGUUUCACAUCAAUGUUUGCGUGUAUCAACUUUGUAGUACUUAAACUGCUCCUGCUGCUUGUGCUGUUACCAAACUGUGUUCGACAAGCACAAGUUUUUUUAAGUUUAGUAUAAAAAUCUAAUUUUGAGUUCAAAUAAGUGAAUAAUUUUUCCUCCCCAUCAUUUUUACACAGUCAUACAAAUAUAAUCCAUUAAAAAAAAACAUCCAACAGCACUUAUUUGAUGGUGUAGUUUUUAGAUUUCUGUUUGAAUUUGUUUGAAAAAUUAACAAACAUAAGACCUAUGAUCCACAGUUGUUUAAUCUACUUGUCCUGUAUGUUCUGAAUGCCACUAUAACACUGCAGUUACUACUAGUGGGAGGGGAUGAUUACGGUUUUAGGAAACCGGAGAAAGACCUGAAGGAAGUAUUGAUGUCUUUGAACAAUUUUUUGUUUAUAAUUUAACAUAAACACAUAACAAAAUAGACGUUGUAUCAUUUUAUUGUUGGGUAUUAGUGCUUGUUAUACACAUGUACAGCAUAUUUAUUAUCACAUUGUAUUAUACCUGCAGUGCACAUAUAAGUUCUGUCGUUUUUUUUACCUUUAAUCAUCCAGCCUUGUUUUCCUCGAUCCAAAUUGUUAUUUCUACUUCUGUACAUUGUGAGAGACAAUAAAGAAAGUCAAAUUCCUUGUGCGUUCAGGCAGAAGCACUUCAAAUGAUUCUUAAAAACAUUUAUCUAUCCGAAGGUGGAGAUCAAAGUCAGUGAAUCUGCAGAUUGAAGUCAAGAGCAGGCGUAGGUUAACAGCAGCGGCCUAUUUACCACACUGUUGUGCAGCUGUGCUUGAAUGCAGACUGUUGUUGUGCUCUCUGGAGCUUCUUCUGUCUUUCUACUACAACAAGCAAAUCCCCAAUUUGGAUUGUUGGGAGUUUAUCACCAAUUUAAAGAUGAAUCUAUUUUAAGGGCGCCAUCAUGCAGUCGGUACCUUGUGAAACCUCAUAAAAAUUGCGUAAAACUUGCAGAGCGUGUUUCCACAAAUAGACCUAACGUCCAACUAGUGUCCAUUCAUGUCCCUCCCUACCACUAUGUCAACUGUCUUCCCACACAUAACGAUUAUGUGCUGAGGGUGAACCCUGCUCUAAUUUAACUAACCUAUUCUCAUAU